UACCUGGUUUGUCCUGCCAGUAGUCAUAUGCUUGUCUCAAAGAUUAAGCCAUGCAUGUCUAAGUAUAAACUGCUUUAUACUGUGAAACUGCGAAUGGCUCAUUAAAUCAGUUAUAGUUUAUUUGAUGGUACCUACUUACUCGGAUACCCGUAGUAAUUCUAGAGCUAAUACGUGCGCACAUCCCGACUUCUGGAAGGGACGUAUUUAUUAGAUAAAAGGCCGACCGGAUUUUUCCGACUCGCGGUGACUCAUGAUAACUUCACGAAUCGCAUGGCCUCGUGCCGGCGAUGUUUCAUUCAAAUUUCUGCCCUAUCAACUUUUGAUGGUAGGAUAGAGGCCUACCAUGGUGGUAACGGGUGACGGAGAAUUAGGGUUCGAUUCCGGAGAGGAGGCCUGAGAA
RNAcentral lists this ribosomal RNA (400 nucleotides) under Picochlorum sp. BpSpG1. RNAcentral describes it as "SSU rRNA". It matches the Rfam family "Eukaryotic small subunit ribosomal RNA", at positions 1 to 402 of the family's 1831-position model. The record is from RNAcentral. Lineage: Eukaryota; Viridiplantae; Chlorophyta; Trebouxiophyceae.